GCUAUAUAUGUUCAAAUUGAUUAUUCCAGAAUUUUCAGAAUUAUAUGGAUCCUUUUAUCUUCAAUUUUAGAGGUUUACCAUUUGAAAAAUUUUGUUUUUUCUCUUUUGCAGAGUUAGGUUUUUUUUUGCAUAACUGCAAUCACAAUUUUUUUAAUAUAUAUUCACUUUGUGUGUAUGUGUGUGUGUGUGUACAUGUAUGCAUGUGUACAUGUAUGCAUGUGCACAUGUAUGUUUUUUUACAUUUAUCAUGUAUGUAUAUCAUUUCUUUUCUUCUCAAGCAGAUCCUCAUUAUCUUACCCUUAUUUUUUAAAAAAAUGAUUAUAUUGUUAAUGAAUAAGAUCCUUGUAUUCAGUUUUGUUCAAUCAAAGCUUGAUAUGAUAUUCAAAUAUCUCCACUGUAUGUCUAUUAUAUAUCGUCUUAAUAUUCCAUUUUUCAUAAUGAUGUGAAGAUAUGGGAAUGAAAAGUUCAGAGCAAUGCUGUAUAAAGUUUUAGCUUCCAAGAAAAUGUGUGAGUGUGUGUGUGUGUGAUGUAAUGAAAGUUUGGAUUUGGUGAAAUCUUGAUAUAUUCCUUGGGCAGCACUCAGAUGCUGCCCUAGAACCAUGACUGCCUCUUUUCAGCUCAGAAUGAGGGACUCCAACCAUUUAAAAAGAUCAUAUAUAUAUAUAUCUUGUAUAUUAAAAGGCAAGUUGUCUGUCUGUGUGUUGUGUGAAUGACUUCUACUCCUACAAUUUUCAACCAAAUUUUACUAAAUUUGACAUGUGUCUUUGACUUAGGACACUUUUUCUUAUAAUUUUUACCUUGAAAUUCCAUGCCCCCAACAUAGACUACUCUCAAUUUGUCUAGGAUUUGAACCCACCAUGUCUAUGCAAUGGUAUGCAUUUGACCUUAUAUCUUAUAUAUUAAAAGGCAAAUUUGUCUGUCUGCUUCUGUAUGUGUUUUGGCUGACCUUGACAUUGUAAACAAAUUUGACACUUUCUUUCUAGGCAUAGUUAUAUAUGUAUACAGAAAUACAUGGGUGCAGAAGAUAGUAAACAAUGAAAAUAACUGGGUAGCAGAAAUUAUAUUUCUUAAUAUGAUGGGCAGAAGGUAAAUUAGAAAUUUUUACAGAAAAUAAAGAAUUGUAUGGGUUGAAGUGAAAUUUGUCAGUUAGAGAACCAAAGAGCCAAUAUCAAAGGAACCAGAAAAAAGCCAUUAACAACAGAAAAACACAAAAUCAUUGCAAAAGUAAAUGAGAAAUUUUUAGAGAUAUUAACUAAGUGUAUGGAUUGAAGUGAAAUUUAGGAAGUUUAAUUCUGUCAGUAAAUUAUGUAUGAAAUUACUUUCAUCAGUAAUUGUGAACUUCUUUCUCUCAGUAAUUUGUCAGUGUUGUUUGUAAAUAACAUUGAAAACUUAGUCAAAACAAUAGUGUCUGAAAAAUAAAAGUGAAAACAAUAGCGUCUGACAAAUGAAAGUAAAAACAAUGGAGUGAGUAAGAUAGAGAGAGAGGGGGAAAGAGAGAGAGCUAGCUAGUUAGACAAAUAAGAUAUAGACAGAUAGAUAUAGACAGAAUAGCAAUGUAUAGAGAGAUAUAGAAAGGUAUAGAGAUAGAUAGAGAGUUAUAGAUGUCACUGAUACUAGAAAACCAGAAGUAAAUAUUUUUUUUUAAACUUUCAAAGACUUGAAUCUAAUAUAAAAAGGAUUAUUAAUUUUUUUUUGUGACCAAUAGAUUUAAGGGAGACAAUCAAUUCUGGAAAUUACUUUGCAAAGACUUACUUCCCUUGUCCAUAUAACCCAGGAACAUGGGGGGGGACGUUAUUUAUUAUGUGGAAAUUUUUAAGAGUCUAAGGCCAUCCCAGUUUGGAGAAAAUAAUUUGGAAAAUAUGGCUGUUAUAAUCUUUUGCACACACAAACACACACACACAGACAGAACGAGAUUUAUAUUAUAGAUAUAUAUAUGUAACGUCUACAUUAUAUAUAUAUAUAUAUAUAUAUAUAUAUAUAUAUAUACUUGAAAGAGGGACUGAGAGAGAAUGCUAAUUUCAGUAGCAUAUAAACAAAUUAAUAAUAGAUAAAGCUUGAUCUCAGCAGGGAAGGAUUUGAAAUUAAAAAGUGUGAUGUACAGAAGAUGAUAAAGUAAUGUACUUAGUCUAAUACCAGACUCUCAUGGUCUUGAUGUCUUGAUUAUGUUUAGAAAAAAAGUUAUUUUAAUACUAUAUCUAUAUAUGAUGUAAUAAAAGUUAUUUUGAUAUCACAUUUUUCUAAUAAAUAUUUUGAUACUGAG
This 2260-nucleotide long non-coding RNA is filed under the name Octopus sinensis (East Asian common octopus). RNAcentral describes it as "uncharacterized LOC118763367". The record is from RNAcentral. Lineage: Eukaryota; Metazoa; Mollusca; Cephalopoda; Octopoda; Octopodidae.